GGGGAACUCACAGUCACAGAACUUACCCAAUGCAUCACAGGGCGCUCCUCGGUGCAGACGCCCAUGUGCGUCUUUUGGGAUGACACGAGGUCUAUUUCCAAGGAUGAGGUCAGUCGGGCGUCUUAUGUUUACGAAUCAAGGUAAUUUAAGGAACAUUAGGAUCACACAUAAGCACAACGGAACAUUCACUGAAACACUUGACUCUGCAGCAGGUAGGAUGAUGGAGAUGAUUAGGUGUCCUCACUGUCCAAACGUACUGUCCAAAACGUAAACCGAUAUGAGCCGAUUUUGGACGGCGAAAAAGAGCGGACAGCGGCAAGCGACUGAAAAUGACACCGGUUGCAACGCCAGCGGCAGAGCAGGCAGAGAUCCCAAUAAAUUUAUUAUGCCAUUAAUUUAUGAGUCUGCACUCAGAUCCAAAUUGAGUGGUAUUAUUCUACUAUUUUAGGGUCGGCAUGCUGCAUCAGUCUGGCUAUUCGGACCUUUCCCAGGGUAUUCUAUGGCAAUCCGAGAUACUUGCUACUGAUAAGGCUUACGAGGAGGUUUCGGCAACGAUCGUCAACUCCUUUGAGGCGGUUGUCGCCGCCGACUGAUAGCUCAAUCCAAGUCCGCCGGUACGCUCCAAUAGUCGCGGACGAAUUCACACAAUUAAGUCACAGACGCCCAAGCCUGGGGCUGCUCUUGCUGUUCACGUAUUGCCGCUCACGUAUUUAUAUGUACGACCCGAACUCGACUUCACUCGCAUUCAAUCCGCACCGGUCUGCUGAGACACGCGAAGACAACCACUCGGCAAAGCUGCGUAACUGGGAAUGUUUGAAUGUUUGCCAGAACCCGACCUAAGCGCCAGCAGCCGAUACGUAAACCCUCCCCGUGGGCGCGUUUGUAUUCGUGUUUGUGUAUGCGCACACCUUUGGAACUGUGACUCUUGCUGCCCCGUUCCUACUCGCACUGGGGCGCGGGUGCUCUCUCUGUGGCAAAUGGCGGCGUUCUCAGCUGAUUGUGCCUGUAUGCUGUGCUCGCUCUGACGCACAGUUACUGGCGCAAGAGGGCGUGGUAUUACUCCCCCACCCACUCUCCUAACACGGAGGGGAUUGGGUACGAUGGCUGCUGCCAAAGAUGAAUAAUGCAACGGCAGCACUCAACAGAAACAGAAGCAAAGCGGCAAAUGUGGAUAAGCAGCGGCGGAGGUGGUGGUCGGUAUUUUUGGAUGGAAUAGAAAUGGAAAUGGAUCUGGACUUGGAGUCGGAUCUUGAGCCCGUGACAGAAAUUUUGCACCGCUAAGAUAUGUUCCUAUAAAAGAAUUCGAACUAAAUCUUCAUCAUACCAGUACAAUUCAAUGAGGAACUGCAAGACUAAAGAAUAACAAGCUUCAGGACCAGCCGAAUAAAUGCAGAAAUGUUGCCCAUUCGCAUCGACUUGCUUAGUGACGUUCAGGUAGCCAUUCCUGCAGCGUCAGUGGCAGCAGCAGCAACAGCAGUAACUACAACAAUGGCGUUGACUUACACCAUCCGCAUCAAGGCAGCUACAUGAGUCCUACGCAAAAGCAACCAAUCUACAAAGCCUAACGAAAUACCUGCAGCGGCGGAAAGGGAAGACAGAGACAGCUCAGGCCGGGACUCUUGAUUUUGAAGGCAGCUUAGCAAUUGGAUGCUGGAAACGUUGAGUCGCGUUGUCCGCAGUGCCCCUUGCAAAGAUAGCAAAUGAUAAGGCCCAAAGAGCGUGCACAACAAAAAAUGUGAGUCCCAGGCCUGAUUUGUUUAAAAACUUUGAAGCUGAAAACUCAAAAUUUAAAGGACAAAUCAUACAUAUUAUAUAUUAUAUAUUAUGACACCCAAAAUAUUAUCAGAUAAUAUUAUUUAGUUUCAAAUACAAAGGAAUCUUAACAGAUGCCAGGUUAUAUCUGUAACACACAUAUGCCUGUAAGCAUGAAAUAUAUUU
Long non-coding RNA from Drosophila ananassae, 1938 nucleotides. RefSeq lists it as uncharacterized. The record is from RefSeq and is a predicted model, not a curated record. The transcript is spliced from 3 exons. Lineage: Eukaryota; Metazoa; Arthropoda; Insecta; Diptera; Drosophilidae.